GACGAACGCUGGCGGCGCGCCUAACACAUGCCAGUCGAACGAGCGAGAGAGAGCUUGCUUUCUCAAGCGAGUGGCGAACGGGUGAGUAACGCGUGAGGAACCUGCCUCAAAGAGGGGGACAACAGUUGGAAACGACUGCUAAUACCGCAUAAGCCCACAGGUCGGCAUCGACCAGAGGGAAAAGGAGCAAUCCGCUUUGAGAUGGCCUCGCGUCCGAUUAGCUAGUUGGUGAGGUAACGGCCCACCAAGGCAACGAUCGGUAGCCGGACUGAGAGGUUGAACGGCCACAUUGGGACUGAGACACGGCCCAGACUCCUACGGGAGGCAGCAGUGGGGAAUAUUGCACAAUGGGGGAAACCCUGAUGCAGCGACGCCGCGUGGAGGAAGAAGGUCUUCGGAUUGUAAACUCCUGUUGUUGAGGAAGAUAAUGACGGUACUCAACAAGGAAGUGACGGCUAACUACGUG
RNAcentral lists this ribosomal RNA (466 nucleotides) under uncultured bacterium. RNAcentral's name for it is "partial 16S ribosomal RNA". It matches the Rfam family "Bacterial small subunit ribosomal RNA", at positions 28 to 507 of the family's 1533-position model. The record is from RNAcentral.